GAUGAACGCUGGCGGCGUGCCUAAUACAGGCAAGUCGAGCGAACAGACGAGGAGCUUGCUCCUGUGACGUUAUCGGCGGACGGGUGAGUCACACGUGGAUAACCUACCUAUAAAACUGGGAUAACUUCGGGAAACCGGAGCUAAUACCGGAUAAUAUAUUAAACCGCAUGGUUCAAUAGUGAAAGACGGUUUUGCUGUCACUUAUAGAUGGAUCCGCGUCGCAUUAGCUAGUUGUUAAGGUAACGGCUUACCACGGCACCGAUGCCUAACCGACCUUAGAGGGUGAUCGGCCACACUGGCACUGAGACACCUCCCAGACCACUACGGGAGGCAGCAGUAGGAACACUUUCGCAAUGGGCGAAAGCUUGACAGAGCCACGCCGCGUCAGUGAUGAAGGUCUUCGGAUUGUAAAACUCUGUUAUUAGGGAAGAACAAAUGUGUAAGUAACUAUGCACGUCUUGACGGUACCUAAUCAGAAAGCCACGGCUAACUACGUG
This 497-nucleotide ribosomal RNA is filed under the name uncultured bacterium. RNAcentral describes it as "partial 16S ribosomal RNA". It matches the Rfam family "Bacterial small subunit ribosomal RNA", at positions 28 to 507 of the family's 1533-position model. The record is from RNAcentral.